AUUGAACGCUGGCGGCAGGCCUAACACAUGCAAGUCGAGCGGAGCGGCGGACGGGUGAGUAAUGCCUAGGAAUCUGCCUGGUAGUGGGGGCUAACGUCCGGAAACGGGCGCUAAUACCGCAUACUAUCAGAUGAGCCUAGGUCGGAUUAGCUCGUUGGUGGGGUAAAGGCCUACCAAGGCCACGAUCCGUAACUGGGCUGAGAGGAUGAUCAGUCACACUGUAACUGCGACACGGUCCAGACUCCUACGGGAGGCAGCGGUGGGGAAUAUUGGACAAUGCGCGAAAGCCUGAUGCAGCCAUGCGGCGUGUGUGAAGAAGGUCUUCGGAUUGUAAAGCACUUUAAGUUUGGAGGCGUUACCAACAGAAUACGCACCGUCUAACUUCGUGCCAGCAGCCGCGGUAAUUC
Molecule: ribosomal RNA, 407 nt
Filed under: uncultured bacterium
Lineage: Bacteria
Description: partial 16S ribosomal RNA
Rfam family: Bacterial small subunit ribosomal RNA
Source: RNAcentral